GCCCGGAUGGUCUAGUGGUAUGAUUCCUGCUGUAAGUUGCCAUGCUUCUAUGAUACCUCCUAAAACAACCACUAAUAACAACACCAGUUGGGAUCCCAAGUCUUAAAUGCAGGAGGCCCCGCGUUCGAAUCGCGGUUCGGGCC
Non-coding RNA from Aspergillus heteromorphus CBS 117.55, 143 nucleotides. NCBI's taxonomy places the organism in Eukaryota, Fungi, Ascomycota, Eurotiomycetes, Eurotiales, Aspergillaceae. The record is from the annotation of a RefSeq genome assembly.